RNAcentral lists this ribosomal RNA (473 nucleotides) under uncultured bacterium. RNAcentral describes it as "bacterial SSU rRNA". It matches the Rfam family "Bacterial small subunit ribosomal RNA", at positions 335 to 801 of the family's 1533-position model. The record is from RNAcentral.
ACUCCUACGGGAGGCAGCAGUAGGGAAUCUUCCACAAUGGGCGCAAGCCUGAUGGAGCAACACCGCGUGAGUGAAGAAGGGUUUCGGCUCGUAAAGCUCUGUUGUUAAAGAAGAACACGUAUGAGAGUAACUGUUCAUACGUUGACGGUAUUUAACCAGAAAGUCACGGCUAACUACGUGCCAGCAGCCGCGGUAAUACGUAGGUGGCAAGCGUUAUCCGGAUUUAUUGGGCGUAAAGAGAGUGCAGGCGGUUUUCUAAGUCUGAUGUGAAAGCCUUCGGCUUAACCGGAGAAGUGCAUCGGAAACUGGAUAACUUGAGUGCAGAAGAGGGUAGUGGAACUCCAUGUGUAGCGGUGGAAUGCGUAGAUAUAUGGAAGAACACCAGUGGUGAAGGCGGCUACCUGGUCUGCAACUGACGCUGAGACUCGAAAGCAUGGGUAGCGAACAGGAUUAGAUACCCUGGUAGGAUAGCG